This 406-nucleotide ribosomal RNA is filed under the name uncultured bacterium. RNAcentral describes it as "partial 16S ribosomal RNA". It matches the Rfam family "Bacterial small subunit ribosomal RNA", at positions 30 to 526 of the family's 1533-position model. The record is from RNAcentral.
AUUGAACGCUGGCGGCAGGCCUAACACAUGCAAGUCGAACGAGUGGCGGACGGGUGAGUAAUGUCUGGGAAACUGCCUGAUGGAGGGGGAUAACUACUGGAAACGGUAGCUAAUACCGCAUACCAUCGGAUGUGCCCAGAUGGGAUUAGAUAGUAGGUGGGGUAACGGCGCACCUAGGCGACUAUCCCUAGCUGGUCUGAGAGGAUGACCAGCCACGCUGGAACUGGGACACGGGCCAGACUCCUACGGGAGGCAGCGGUAGGGAAUAUUGCACAGUGGGCGGAAGCCUGAUGCAGCCAUGCCGCGUGUAUGAAGAAGGCCUUCGGGUUGUAAAGUACUUUCAGCGGGGAGGCGGUACCCGCAGAAGAAGCACCGGCUAACUCCGUGCCAGCAGCCGCGGUAAUUC